CCAACCCAUCCCACCUCGUCCCCAAACCAAACACAUGCACGCAAAUGGCUUGUUGAGGAAUAAACAUCUUGCUCCCUUGCAUUCUAAACUAUGAUAUUCUUCAAGCAUAUGUGUUUGGUUUAGGGAUGAGGUGGGAUGGGUUAGGUCCA
RNAcentral lists this microRNA precursor (149 nucleotides) under Oryza sativa Indica Group (long-grained rice). Its description in RNAcentral is "osa-MIR1879". RNAcentral also lists the same sequence under 1 other name. The record is from RNAcentral. Lineage: Eukaryota; Viridiplantae; Streptophyta; Magnoliopsida; Poales; Poaceae.